UCAGUAACACGUAGUCAACAUGCCCAGGGGACGUGGAUAACCUCGGGAAACUGAGGAUAAACCGCGAUAGGUCACUACUUCUGGAAUGGGUAAUGACCCAAACCUAUACGGCCCCUGGAUUGGACUGCGGCCGAUCAGGCUGUUGGUGAGGUAAUGGCCCACCAAACCUGUAACCGGUACGGGCUCUGAGAGGAGGAGCCCGGAGAUGGGCACUGAGACAAGGGCCCAGGCCCUAUGGGGCGCAGAGGCGCGAAACCUCUGCAAUAGGCGAAAGCUUGACAGGGUUACUCUGAGUGAUUUCCGUUAAGGAGAUCUUUUGGCACCUCUAAAAAUGGUGCAGAAUAAGGGGUGGGCAAGUCUGGUGCCAGC
RNAcentral lists this ribosomal RNA (369 nucleotides) under unidentified archaeon. Its description in RNAcentral is "bacterial SSU rRNA". It matches the Rfam family "Archaeal small subunit ribosomal RNA", at positions 90 to 462 of the family's 1478-position model. The record is from RNAcentral.